Molecule: ribosomal RNA, 433 nt
Filed under: uncultured bacterium
Lineage: Bacteria
Description: partial 16S ribosomal RNA
Rfam family: Bacterial small subunit ribosomal RNA
Source: RNAcentral
AACGAACGCUGGCGGCAUGCCUAACACAUGCAAGUCGAACGAGACCUUCGGGUCUAGUGGCGCACGGGUGCGUAACGCGUGGGAACCUGCCCUUAGGUUCGGAAUAACUCCCCGAAAGGGGUGCUAAUACCGGAUAAUGUCUUCGGACCAAAGAUUUAUCGCCUUUGGAUGGGCCCGCGUUGGAUUAGCUAGUUGGUAGGGUAAAAGCCUACCAAGGCGUCGAUGCAUAGCUGGUCUGAGAGGAUGAUCAGCCACACUGGGACUGAGACACGGCCCAGACUCCUACGGGAGGCAGCAGUAGGGAAUAUUGGACGAUGGGCGAUAGCCUGAUCCAGCAGUGCCGCGUGAGUGAGGAAGGCCUUAGGGUUGUAAAGCUCUUUUACCCGGGAUGAUAAUGACAGUACCGGGAGAAUAAGCACCGGCUAACUCCGUG